RNAcentral lists this long non-coding RNA (907 nucleotides) under Dromaius novaehollandiae (emu). RNAcentral describes it as "lncRNA (ENSDNVG00000013722.1)". Lineage: Eukaryota; Metazoa; Chordata; Aves; Casuariiformes; Dromaiidae. The record is from RNAcentral.
GCUGAAAUGAAAGGCCCGUUGGCAGGGCUGGUUUAAACAGGGGGACCGAGGCAUCCCCCGGCCUCCUCCGCAAAUAAAUCACAGUUCAAAGGAGCUCGCGUCCCAGCAGCUGGGAUAUUGGAGCCGCGCGGCGGAGGGCGGCGUGUGUUUCCAACCCAUCCGUCACCGCUCCGGAGAAUCGAAAGGCACUGGAAAAGGCCAUCAAAGCAGGUCUUGCUCAGGAAUCACCCGGCGGCGAUGGCCACGACCCGGCGAAGGUCUCCGAGCGAAACCUGGUAGGCGGCAAAGUCCGUCCCGUCCUUGGCACAGCCACGGUCCACGCGCUGGCGGAUGCUCGGGGGCAAGAGGUGCCGGCCCCGCGCCCGCCCAGCCCCUGCCUGCUGGCUUUCUUCUGUGGCCUGCUUGGCGAUUCCAGGGUUUCCAAUACAUGAGGCCAAUGGCCUGCAGAARAAAAAUGAUCUCAGGACUUUGCAUUGAGCUGAAUGAAGCGAGCCUCAUCAGAAGGAGACCUAAUUCUGGAUACCCUCAGGAUGAAUAUUUUAGCCGAGCCCUUCUUUCUGAAUGAGGAUGAUGGCAGGCGGCUCCGACUCCRCGGGACGCUUGGGCGAGUGCCGGCCCUGAAACACAUGUGCUCCCACCGCCGGCGCGACGCCGCCAGAAAUCCCUGUGUCAGUCCUUUCCCAAACUAGACCCGAGCUGUUUGGGUCGCGCAUUGGUUUCUCGGCGAUACUGCAGCAGCGCCGGCGGGAGGAAACUCAUGACGGCCGGUAACCUCGCGUCGGGCGCUCGGUAAAAGAUUCCAGUUAGGAAAUUGUCUCCUUCGGGUUUUGCUUGCAGCGAGUUCACGUCAGCCUCUCGCUGUUUCCUUUCUGCUGUGUACAACUAAUAAAAACAAGACGUUUGUCCA